This 497-nucleotide ribosomal RNA is filed under the name uncultured bacterium. Its description in RNAcentral is "partial 16S ribosomal RNA". It matches the Rfam family "Bacterial small subunit ribosomal RNA", at positions 28 to 507 of the family's 1533-position model. The record is from RNAcentral.
GACGAACGCUGGCGGCGUGCCUAAUACAUGCAAGUUGAGCGCUGAAGGUUGGUACUUGUACCAACUGGAUGAGCAGCGAACGGGUGAGUAACGCGUGGGGAAUCUGCCUUUGAGCGGGGGACAACAUUUGGAAACGAAUGCUAAUACCGCAUAAAAACUUUAAACACAAGUUUUAAGUUUGAAAGAUGCAAUUGCAUCACUCAAAGAUGAUCCCGCGUUGUAUUAGCUAGUUGGUGAGGUAAAGGCUCACCAAGGCGAUGAUACAUAGCCGACCUGAGAGGGUGAUCGGCCACAUUGGGACGGAGACACGGCCCAAACUACUACGGGAGGCAGCAGUAGGGAAUCUUCGGCAAUGGACGAAAGUCUGACCGAGCAACGCCGCGUGAGUGAAGAAGGGUUUCGGAUCGUAAAACUCUGUUGGUAGAGAAGAACGUUGGUGAGAGUGGAAAGCUCAUCAAGUGACGGUAACUACCCAGAAAGGGACGGCUAACUACGUG